RNAcentral lists this ribosomal RNA (496 nucleotides) under uncultured bacterium. RNAcentral describes it as "partial 16S ribosomal RNA". It matches the Rfam family "Bacterial small subunit ribosomal RNA", at positions 28 to 506 of the family's 1533-position model. The record is from RNAcentral.
GAUGAACGCUGGCGGCGUGCCUAAUACAUGCCAGUCGAGCGAACGGACGAGAAGCUUGCUUCUCUGAUGUUAGCGGCGGACGGGUGAGUAACACGUGGAUAACCUACCUAUAAGGCUGGGAUAACUUCGGGAAACCGGAGCUAAGACCGGAUGAUACUUUUACCCGCAUGGUUCAAAAGUGAAAGAGGGUCUGGCUGUCGCUUAUAGAUGGAUCCGCGCUUCAUUGGCUAGUUGGUACGGUAACGGCUUACCAAGUCAACGAUGCUUAGCCGACCUGUGAGGGGGAUCGGGCACGCGGGAGUGGAGACACGCCCCAGACCCGUGCGGGGGGCAGGAGUAGGGCAUCUGGCGGAAGGGGCGAAAGCUUGACGAUGCAACGCCGCGUGAUGGAGGAAGGUCUUCGGCUCGUAAAACUCUGUUAUGAGGUAAGAACAUAUGGGUAAGUAACUGGGUUUAUCUGACCGGAACCUAUAAAGAAAGCCCCGCCUACUUCCGG